AGUGAACGCUGGCGGUAGGCCUAACACAUGCAAGUCGAACGGCAGCACAGUAAGAGCUUGCUCUUACGGGUGGCGAGUGGCGGACGGGUGAGGAAUACAUCGGAAUCUACUUUUUCGUGGGGGAUAACGUAGGGAAACUUACGCUAAUACCGCAUACGACCUACGGGUGAAAGCAGGGGAUCUUCGGACCUUGCGCGAUUGAAUGAGCCGAUGUCGGAUUAGCUAGUUGGCGGGGUAAAGGCCCACCAAGGCGACGAUCCGUAGCUGGUCUGAGAGGAUGAUCAGCCACACUGGAACUGAGACACGGUCCAGACUCCGACGGGAGGCAGCAGUGGGGAAUAUUGGACAAUGGGCGCAAGCCUGAUCCAGCCAUACCGCGUGGGUGAAGAAGGCCUUCGGGUUGUAAAGCCCUUUUGUUGGGAAAGAAAAGCAGCAGGUUAAGACCCCGCUGUUCUGACGGUACCCAAAGAAUAAGCACCGGCUAACUUCGU
RNAcentral lists this ribosomal RNA (491 nucleotides) under uncultured bacterium. RNAcentral's name for it is "partial 16S ribosomal RNA". It matches the Rfam family "Bacterial small subunit ribosomal RNA", at positions 29 to 506 of the family's 1533-position model. The record is from RNAcentral.